This 2227-nucleotide ribosomal RNA is filed under the name Tolypocladium japonicum. RNAcentral describes it as "SSU rRNA". It matches the Rfam family "Eukaryotic small subunit ribosomal RNA", at positions 39 to 1596 of the family's 1831-position model. Lineage: Eukaryota; Fungi; Ascomycota; Sordariomycetes; Hypocreales; Ophiocordycipitaceae. The record is from RNAcentral.
AAAGAUUAAGCCAUGCAUGUCUAAGUAUAAGCAAUUAUACAGCGAAACUGCGAAUGGCUCAUUAUAUAAGUUAUCGUUUAUUUGAUAGCACCUUACUACUUGGAUAACCGUGGUAAUUCUAGAGCUAAUACAUGCUAAAAAUCCCGACUCCGGAAGGGAUGUAUUUAUUAGAUUAAAAACCAAUGCCCUCUGGGCUCUUUGGUGAUUCAUGAUAACUUUGCGGAUCGCACGGCCUUGCGCCGGCGAUGGUUCAUUCAAAUUUCUUCCCUAUCAACUUUCGAUGUUUGGGUAGUGGCCAAACAUGGUGGCAACGGGUAACGGAGGGUUAGGGCUCGGCCCCGGAGAAGGAGCCUGAGAAACGGCUACUACAUCCAAGGAAGGCAGCAGGCGCGCAAAUUACCCAAUCCCGACACGGGGAGGUAGUGACAAUAAAUACUGAUACAGGGCUCUUUUGGGUCUUGUAAUUGGAAUGAGUACAAUUUAAAUCCCUUAACGAGGAACAAUUGGAGGGCAAGUCUGGUGAACGUCGCUGGUGCCAGAGAGAGCCGCCCUCGGUAAACAAGCGGCUAGUCGAGUGCUCGUUGCGUGACGGGUGAGCGCCGGCGAGACAACCUGGAUCGGGGAAGGCUAAGGGGCCCCGGGGGCCUACGCUGAUCCCGAGCAGAGCCAGCCCACUGGCCUGUGUAGAGCGCGCCAAGGUGUCGGUCCCGAGGUCCUCCUCGGGGCUUAAGGUACGUGCCAACCCCCUGCGAAAGCAGGGCCCUGCGGAGCAGCACCCGUCGUGCGAAGCCGCAGGGAGCCCCCGCCCCUCCCCCGAGGGGCGUGCGCUGUAACAUGCGCUGUAACAUGGCCAGCAGCCGCGGUAAUUCCAGCUCCAAUAGCGUAUAUUAAAGUUGUUGUGGUUAAAAAGCUCGUAGUUGAACCUUGGGCCUGGCUGGCCGGUCCGCCUCACCGCGUGCACUGGUCCGGCCGGGCCUUUCCCUCUGUGGAACCCCAUGCCCUUCACUGGGUGUGGCGGGGAAACAGGACUUUUACUUUGAAAAAAUUAGAGUGCUCCAGGCAGGCCUAUGCUCGAAUACAUUAGCAUGGAAUAAUGAAAUAGGACGUGCGGUUCUAUUUUGUUGGUUUCUAGGACCGCCGUAAUGAUUAAUAGGGACAGUCGGGGGCAUCAGUAUUCAAUUGUCAGAGGUGAAAUUCUUGGAUUUAUUGAAGACUAACUACUGCGAAAGCAUUUGCCAAGGAUGUUUUCAUUAAUCAGGAACGAAAGUUAGGGGAUCGAAGACGAUCAGAUACCGUCGUAGUCUUAACCAUAAACUAUGCCGACUAGGGAUCGGACGAUGUUAUAUUUUGACGCGUUCGGCACCUUACGAGAAAUCAAAGUGCUUGGGCUCCAGGGGGAGUAUGGUCGCAAGGCUGAAACUUAAAGAAAUUGACGGAAGGGCACCACCAGGGGUGGAGCCUGCGGCUUAAUUUGACUCAACACGGGGAAACUCACCAGGUCCAGACACAAUGAGGAUUGACAGAUUGAGAGCUCUUUCUUGAUUUUGUGGGUGGUGGUGCAUGGCCGUUCUUAGUUGGUGGAGUGAUUUGUCUGCUUAAUUGCGAUAACGAACGAGACCUUGACCUGCUAAAUAGCCCGUAUUGCUUUGGCAGUACGCCGGCUUCUUAGAGGGACUAUCGGCUCAAGCCGAUGGAAGUUCGAGGCAAUAACAGGUUGAAGCAUUACAGGCCUGUCAUAGUGGGCCUCGUUAAAGAUUUACCGCUAGUCUAGCGACUUUACCUCCGCGGGGAAGCCCCCAUUGUCGGGCGGAGGGGGCCCUGAGAAGGGGCCCUGUUGCGGGCGACACCACCUGGAACAGGGAACGCCGCGAACCCUUCACUGGGGGACGGCCGAUCCUGUGGCGAGCCUGGGUUGCGCCAGGCCGUCGCAACGCGCGCAAAGGGGUGGGCCUUCACCGAAGGCUUAAGGUACGUGCUAAUCCCGUGGGUGACCACGCCGCCGCGACUAGGCCCGAUAUGCCGAAGCGCGGGGGGGCCACAGGCGCUACGGCGCCCGUGGCCGGGGCUCUCGCGGCACGCCGCGGGGGCCGUCUGCUGUGAUGCCCUUCGAUGUUCUGGGCCGCACGCGCGCUACACUGACGGAGCCAGCGAGUACUCCCUUGGCCGGAAGGCCCGGGUAAUCUUGUUAAACUCCGUCGUGCUGGGGAUAGAGCAUUGCAAUUAUUGC